UACGUAGGUGACAAGCGUUGUCCGGAUUUACUGGGCGUAAAGAGCGUGUAGGCGGCCAAGCAGGUCAGCUGUGAAAACUCGAGGCUCAACCUCGAGACGUCGGUUGAAACCGCUUGGCUAGAGUCCGGAAGAGGAGAGUGGAAUUCCCGGUGUAGCGGUGAAAUGCGCAGAUAUCGGGAAGAACACCCGUGGCGAAGGCGGCUCUCUGGGACGGUACUGACGCUGAGACGCGAAAGCGUGGGGAGCGAACAGG
This 253-nucleotide ribosomal RNA is filed under the name uncultured bacterium. RNAcentral describes it as "partial 16S ribosomal RNA". It matches the Rfam family "Bacterial small subunit ribosomal RNA", at positions 524 to 776 of the family's 1533-position model. The record is from RNAcentral.